UACGUAGGGUGCGAGCGUUAAUCGGAAUUACUGGGCGUAAAGUGUGCGCAGGCGGCUGAGCAAGUCGAGUGUGAAAGCCCCGGGCUUAACUUGGGAACUGCAUUUGUGACUGGCAGGCUAGAGUAUGGCAGAGGGGGGUAGAAUUCCACGUGUAGCAGUGAAAUGCGUAGAGAUGUGGAGGAACACCGAUGGCGAAGGCAGCCCCCUGGGUCAAGAUUGACGCUCAUGCACGAAAGCGUGGGGAGCAAACAGG
RNAcentral lists this ribosomal RNA (253 nucleotides) under uncultured bacterium. RNAcentral's name for it is "partial 16S ribosomal RNA". It matches the Rfam family "Bacterial small subunit ribosomal RNA", at positions 524 to 776 of the family's 1533-position model. The record is from RNAcentral.